GACGAACGCUGGCGGCGUGCUUAACACAUGCAAGUCGAACGGAAAGGCCCUGCUUUUGCGGGGUGCUCGAGUGGCGAACGGGUGAGUAACACGUGAGUAACCUGCCCUUGACUGUGGGAUAACUUCAGGAAACUGGGGCUAAUACCGGAUAUGAGCUCCUGCUGCAUGGUGGGGGUUGGAAAGUGUCGGCGGUGGGGGAUGGACUCGCGGCUUAUGAGCUUGUUUGUGAGGUAGUGGAUUACCAAGGCUUUGACGGGUAGCCGGCCUGAGAGGGUGACCGGCCACCUUGGGCCUGAGAUACGGCCCAGACUCCUACGGGAGGCAGCAGUGGGGAAUAUUGCAGAAUGGGCGGAAGCCUGAUGCAGCAACGCCGCGUGCGGGAUGACGGCCUUCGGGUUGUAAACCGCUUUCGCAUGUGACGAAGCGUGAGUGACGGUAAUGGGUAAAGAAGCACCGGCUAACUACGUG
This 468-nucleotide ribosomal RNA is filed under the name uncultured bacterium. RNAcentral describes it as "partial 16S ribosomal RNA". It matches the Rfam family "Bacterial small subunit ribosomal RNA", at positions 28 to 507 of the family's 1533-position model. The record is from RNAcentral.